GCUGCACCUCUCUGUGGGGAAGACCCCUUCCCCCAGGUCCAGAGCACAUUCCGGAGGAGAGCCAAAGUCUCGGAAAUCCAGAGCCUGAUGCAAAACAACUCCUACUCAAACAAUAGUAGCUCUCCUCCCUGGAGCCCACAACCGGACUGCCCAGGUGGGGAAACUGAGGCCUGGAGGGCCCCACCCAUAUGGACAGGCAGCUGGACUGGGAGCCAGGGGGCCUAGGUUUCUCCCUCAGUGCUGCGUGACACCAGGACCCUCCUUUCCCCUGGUCUCUGUGUUCUCAGCUUCCAGGGGUGACUGGGGACCCCCUGCUGGUGUCCCUGUGGGCCAGUCCCUGUCCUGGCCCCCAGAGAGGACAGAACAUUGGGGGCAGGGGGAAGGGGCUGGUGCCUGCGACGACCCCCCUGCCCAGGGCCCUCAAGACCACCCUCGGGGCCCUGGGAUGCUGCAGCUGUAGGCCCACACACCCCACCGGGGCCUAGCCCAGCCCAUACCUGAUGGUGCUGCCUGACAGCCCGCUGGAUGAUUCCGGCACAGCGGGCAAUCAAGUAGGACAGUGUGAGCAUCGCUGCCCAGCCCCUUCUCCCAGCAAGCUCCCGGGGGUGCCCAGCCCUGGGCCCCCAGAGGCCAGGCAGGAGCCCCCGGUGUAGGCAGGCCCUCCCACCAACACGUACUGGGGCUGGAAUGUUCUGGGCACCAUGUUCUCCAGGAGGCGAGGAGGGCAAGGGUAGGAGGGGCCGAGGCUCGUCCUUGUUUGGGGCCUUGUUCUCACAGUACCCUGAGGAGGGGCUGACCUAUACAAGGCUCCCCCGCCCCCCACCCCCCAUGACCUCACGGCUCUGGCCCCAGGAUCCUGCCUGGCCCAGAUGCUGGGUGCCCGCAGGUCAGGGAGACAGUCUAGCCAGGGCAGGGUGCAAGGAGCCACAGCCCUGCCACAGAGGCACUGAGGGGCCUGGUAGGGUGGCCUCUGUAACAGGCAAGUUCCUCGUCCUCACCAGGCAGGCGGGCAGCUCCUGCGGGCCCCCACUCCGUGACAUGCCAUACCAGGGGGGGGCGCUAUUUUUCUAAAACGGGGUGUGGGCCACUUGGUGUGGACACUGAUGGGUGCCACAGGACGGCCCCUCCCCUCCCCAACUCGCCAGGCCCAGGAAUCCGACCUCCAGCCCAGGGCAGGGGGUGAAUGACCACAGCCCAGCCCGCUAUUUGCUAAGUUGGCAGGAACUCGACCCAUGUGGGAGGGGGGGCGGGGGCAGCAGGGAGCCUCUGCUUGGGGUUCUCAACUGCCAGCUUCUCCCCCUGGUCCUCCCCGCUCAGAGCUGCAACCAGACAUGGCAGGGUGGGGGGGACAGCUCUCCAGGGGGUACCCCUCGGUCAUCAUCCUCAGGAGGGGGCCCCAGAAUUCAGCCCAGGACCCUUGGGAAUGUAACUCUGGGGAGCGGCCGUAGUGAAGACGGGGCUGUGCAUUUAGCUGAUGCUCCGUGAGUAGCAAUGACCACUACCGCUGCGCACAGUCACCCUGAUUUCUGGCUCCGGCACACGAUCCCCACCUUGUGGGGCAGAAGAUGCCCCAGGUCCGGCUGGCAAGGUGGUUUUGGUGCAGGGAAAGCGUGUCUGGGUGGCUUUGGUUUCCUGUUGUCGGUUCGAAUGAGCAGGAACUUGAGGACCGCUGGGCCAAGAGCCCUCCUCCUCCACGGGGGAGUCAGGGGCGUCUGGGGAAGCGAGCCCCCUCCCACACCGGCUCAGGAGCCUCCCCCCCCCCCCCCCCGUGAGCCCUUGCAAGGCCCAUCCUCACUGUCCCAGAGUGCCCAACCCAUGCGCGGCACUGAGUGGCCUGGCCCUGAGCUGGGACAUGCCCACACAGAGGGGGUCCAAAAUGGGGGAGACAGUGGGCUGGCCUCCACGGCCCUCCUGUAGGCAGCCCCCCAGGGGAGGGAGGCUCAGUGCCGAGUGGGCACAAGAGAGCCCAACCCUUGGGAUCCCGUCCGCAUCCCCUUGGGCCCCCGGCCCUCACCUUGAACCCGAUGCCACCCUUCUUACAGCACAGACAGGCCAGCAUGAGGGCAAUGACAGUGAAGAGCCCGGAGAAGGACACGGCCACCACAGCCAGGGAGGACGACCAGGAGAGCUCACUGAGGGGGGCGCCGUCUGCCGAGGAAGAGGGGGUCACGGGGCAGCCUCCAAGGCUCCGGCCCCCCAGGCUCACCCUCUCCCUCCAGGUGCACCCAGGGCCCAGCCAAGCCCCUGCCUCCCCAGCCCGCCCUGACCCUCGCUCUGAGACCUGCCACCCACAGGCACAGCCCCAGGGCUCAGGGCAGAGCGGCCGCCGUGGCCCGGAGCCUGCAGUUCCCCGGACGGCCACUGGGUGCCGCUGCGGCCUCACUCAGAGAACACGGAGGCGGAACCCAAGCUAACGUGGCAUCUGGGAGGGCCGCCUGGAGGCAGUGUGAGCCCGAGGGCCUGGAAAGAUGGCGAACACAGCCUGGACUCCCGCUCAGGUCUCCAAGCUCAUUCCCCACACCCACACGGAAGAUGGAGGGGCCCAGGUCCUGCUGUAAGCACGUGAACCCACACAGAAGGGACCACAGAGUACGGCUCCUUCACGUGAAGACACGAGACGUCAAAGCCAACACGUUCAGGAAAUGGAAACGCCCAUGAGAAGGGACAACAAAAGCUACCGCGCACACAGCAGGCACCGUGUCAUUGCAGGCGCUGGCUCUGCCGACCAGAACCAGCCAGCAUCCCGGCCACCCUGUCCCUGGUCCCGCCUCUGCACAUGCCCUCCUGCAGGGGCCGUUUAUGGCACUGGACCGUCUUUUGCCAGUUACAUUUUUUUUUAAUGUUUAUUUAUUUUUGAGAUAACGCGAGAGACAGAGUGCAAGCAGCGGAGGGGCAGACAGAGGGAGACACAGAAUCCGAAGUGGGCUCCAGGCCCCGAGCUGUCAGCCCAGAGCCCGACGCGGGGCUCGAACCCACGAACCGCGAGACCAUGACCCGAGCCGGAGUUGGACGCUCAACCAAAUGAGCCACUCAGGCACCCCGCCAGUUACAUUUAAGAAAACACUUCCAUCCACUGCAGAAGCAACACAGAAAGUGAGGCAGAGACCCCAGGUCCUGUCACCGUCCACGGGUCAGCCUCCACCCUGCCCCGAACGGGACGCCUCCUCGAUGGCCUGGUGGCCCGGGCACCACGGUCCAACGCGGCCGGGUCUUUCCCACAGGAGGCACCGCGUUCUGGAAAACUGUACGGCCACGUUUAGGAGCAGUGCCUCACAUUUAUGGGGCACCUGCUGUGUACCGAGGUCUCCCUUCCAGGUUGCGGAGGGGACAGAGCAUUUCUGGGGACCUGGAAGGGAGAUGGACAAGGCACAGGUCAGAACAGAACCAGGUGCCGGGCUGGGCUUCCCGUAAAAGGAAAAUGUGACUUGUUUCUGCCAUCAGGUGGGGACAGGUGUCUGGGCGGGACUGUCACAUGACCUAGAUCACCGCCCCCACCACCAGUCGUCUGUCAGCGAGUCCUGUGACCCUAAGGGGGAUGAAACUCUAACCUGGUGACAGAAGCUACAACAAGCAGAGAGGGGGGGUGGCCGUGUGUCUGUGGCUGAUCACACAUGGAAAAGUGGUGAUUGUUACCAGCACGCACGUGCUGCUGCGGGACAUGUGGGGAGCCAGGGCCUGAAGGGACAGCCCGGAGCCAGGCCGGCCGGCCAGAAGACCCCACACAGAACACAGGCGGUGGCGGGAUGGAGGGACCGUGCAGGGGAAGAGCCACGUCCCCACACACCGCAGUAUCUUCAAACUGACAUCUGGAAGUCAAAUCACAGCACCGGAGAAGAAAAGAGGGAGACACCAGGCUUCUUCGUGGAAAAGAAUGUUUAAGCUGAAAGCAACAGAGGGAAUCACAAAAUAUCGAUGGGUUUCGCUCCAUAAAAACGUAUGUUCCAUAAAAGCCCCAAAUUGAGGGCGCAUGGCAAACCAGGAAAAACGAUUUACAGAACACCUAUCACAAGACGGGUAGCAUUACUCUACAGGGCCCACCAUCAGCGAAAAUUAAAAAAAAAAAAUACGUUAAGACCCCAUAACACAAACAAACAGACUAAGCAAAGCCCGCAAGGAAACGAUCAGCCUCGGCUGUAAUCAAAGAGGCGCAACUCGAAACACGAAGUCCGCUUCCGGCCUGAGCGAGUUCCCAGAACCCCCCGUCCUCGCUGAAGCCAGGGCACCAGAAGCAGCCGCCAGGCUCCCCGUGCGAGAAUCGGAGAAUCAACUGGAAAACGGUUCAGAGAUGUGGGUGCAGCUCCUUGGGGACCGAGCUUCUCGUUGGCCAAGUGAUUCCUUGUCUGGGAAUUUAUUUAUUUUUUAAUGUUGAUUUAUUUGGGUGGGAGGGGCAGACAGAGAGAGGGGGACAGAAGAUCCCAAGCAGGCUCCGCACUGUCAGCACAGAGCCCCGUGCGGGGCUCGAGCUCACGAACCGAGAGAUCAGGACCUGAGCUGAAGUCAGACGCUCAACCGACUGAGCCACCCAGGCGUCCCCACCUUGUCUGGGAAUUUCAACCAAGAGACUAACCCGGAGGGUGCACAAGUCCUGAAUAAAUGAACGGAGGAAUGAGAGCGCUAACUCCGAAGACAGACACACGUCCCACGCAUUCGCUACGGUGACGGUUCUAAGAAGGACCAGUAAGGAAGAGUCCACCAGUAAGGAAGGAUUGAACAAAACGGUGUAUCUGCAAAGGAGCCAGAGAAAGUGAGCUGAAGAAGUUUUCAAAGUGGAAAUCUCAACGUGAUGCUACUCAGGAGAAGGAAGACACACGAGGACACGUUUGGGCGCCGGGCAAGUGUCCGUCACGUGACUGUGCGGCCAAGGGGUCGGGGGGCCCCCCCAAACCACGCGCGAGGUCUCCCGAGGGCCAACCAUCAACGGGCGUGGUUGAGUCUAUGUCAGUCACACGUCGAUAAGGUGGAAAGCAAGAGGCAGGACUGCUCCUAAAUCCAGGUCACGGUUGUGUUAAGAAAAAAAAAUUCACCUGGAAGAAAAUCUCUCAAACCGUGAGCGGUGCCCGUCUGGGGCGGCAGAAGCCGCUUACCGCCUGCUCGUUGCUGGCACAUUCCAUAUGGCCGCUGCCGAGCACGCGGUCUCUAGAAUCUAGCGUGUGUCAUCUCCUGUAAUUCUCACUCACAGCCCAUCGUUCCAUCUGGAAAGACCCCCACGGCCGCAGAGCACGCAGAACAGGGCCCCGGCGUCACCGAGUCCUGGGCUCGGCCCCCCACACCCUGUCCAACCUUCAGGGGUCUGAAGCUUCCAGGCCAUUCCUCACCCAGGCGGGCGCCAUCUUCAAAAGCACCACCCACCGAUGGCCCCUCUGAGCCAUCCACGCUGAGCCCCACUUGCCCACGGGCUUGGCGUGAGGGGACGUCCCUGGGGGCCUGAGACACAGGCAGUACUCGGGGGCCAUGCUGAAGGAGCGAGGGCGGGGCCCGUCAACCCUCCAACCUCGAAGCCACGUGCCUCGGUUUCCCCAGUCUCCUCUGGAGAGGCCACCCCCUGCUGUCCACCUGGCAUCUGCUCUGAAGGACGGUCCCCUUUACGUUACGUGAGCUUCACCUCGACUUCAAAGUGUCCAGAGAGCACUCAGACGCCCGUGGAGGCCAGGUCAAGGGUCACGUCCACAACAGAGAGUACUGUCCAUCGAGGCCUGAUGCCCUCUGCUGCUCGCACCACGGAGAGCUCACUCCCCAGCAGGAGCAGCCGAGGGGUCCCCAGCCCAGCCCAGUGCGCCCCGGGCUCCUCACGUGGCCUGCCCAGGCUGCCCAGCCCACGGGGACUCCAGCGCGGGGAUCAGCCGCAGGCCCGGGGCGGGGCCUCGGCCGGGCGUCUGAGGACAUCCUGGCACCAGUCCCCCUGCCCCCAUGCCCGGUGACGCAAACGGGGUCCUGCACAGGAAGGAACCACAGCCAGGAGGGCGUUCUGCUGAGUUAACAGGAUGAGGCAAGUGAACAGUGUUAAGGGUGGCAGUUUGCGUGCCCAGGGUGUCAGGGGCCAACGUCCCAGGGAGGCCCCACUGACCCCAUCGUCUGCCCCUGACACCCCCAUCUCCCAGCCCCCUGCCGAAGCAAGCAGGAGUCAGCAGGAUUCUGGGGUUCCCGGGGCAGGGGGGUGGCCGGCAGGAGAGGUCCCCACCCCCACCAGCCGUCCUGGAAGCAGAGCCAGUGCUGGGGGCGGAGGGGGCUGAGGUCCUCCACGACGGUUGGUCUGUGGGCCCAGACGUGGAAGUUUUCCCUAGAGGAGCGGAAUUCUGGAGUGGGGACACGGGCGCCCUCCACCAGGUCUGGGCCCUCGUGUGGCCAGGCGCCUCCCAGGGGGACCCAGGCUCGUGCGUUUCCUCCCUUCUUCCCCCCGAUCUCAGAGAUCAGCAGGAACGAUGACAGGACGGACCGGGGACUGAAACCAGAGCCCCCACUUGUCUGUAAGGGGGGCUGCAGGCUGCCGGGGUGGGAGUGGCAGCCAGAGACACACGCGGGCCCCCUGAGACGAAAGCCACACCUGCAGGAGACGCCCCACAAGAGCCGGGGCUGUGUCCAGAACCGUCACGCGCGGCCCCGAGGCUCACCUGACCACGUCCUCCCCACCUCAGAACCCGACUCUGGGCAGGGUCGCAGCUGCCCAGCCUCCGCCCCCCGCAGGUGCGUCUGGGUGGGGAGGCUGUGGCCCACUGCCCCCACCGCAGAACCUUCCAAACCUCUCACCCCCGAGUCCCGGUCUCCUGCUCUGUGCAGGACAGGGGGCGGGGGACGUGCACACAGGGCUGGACGGUGAGCAGGUGAUCUGAACAGUCGUGCACCCCAAAGACAGAGGUGGGGCCGUGAGGUGAAGGCACGCCCCCUCCAAGAGAGACAAGUGUCCACCUAGAGCGACAGGCCUGGAGCCGGCGGUCACGGCUCAAAGCCCUGCAGGUGCAGACGGCCUGCCCGGGCGGCUGUGGCCAGGGGCCAAGUGGGGUCACGGCAGCCGCUUACCCGAGAGGGCUCUUUCCGGAGCCCCCGACCACAGAUCCACGGAGGGCGGCCCGGCAGCCGGCGUGGCCGGUAUCAGCCCCUUCCUGCUGUCGCUGUGGGUCGGGACCUAGAACCUCACCCAGAGCCUAAGAGGGGGAAGCCUGGGUUCCAGCUCCCCAGGGGCAGGAUACCUCCGCGGGGGGCCCGGGGCCUUCCUUCCGGAGAAGGGGGGAGGGACAGCACACAGGUCCCCACGUCCUCACACACGGGCACUCACACGCACGUGCGCGCACACACACACACACACACACACACACUUAAGUACAUACACAUUUGGUCCUACGCUCACAAGCUUUCAUGUGUUCAGUCUCCCACCCACGCACACCCAGGCACACCUCUAGGCCCUCACAUGCACACGCACGUGCCUGCUCCCAGAUACGUGCACACACACUUGCACGCUCACACCUGCACACACACGCACUCCCUGCCAUCACGCGCGUGCUCUGGAGCGCACACUGGCGGUUUGGGGGGGGGGCACACCCCUGGGGGCUCCCUCCAGGUUCCGCCCCAGGACCGAACCCCAGGGCCAGAUGAGCAGCCGGCCGGCUCUGCCCCACAUCAGGCCAGCUUGUCACAAACACAGGGACGGAAGGAAGUUCUGCAAUCUGCACGCUGUCCAGUGACACAUGAGAAAGCCCAGGCCUGGCCACCAUCCACAUCAGAGCCCCCUCCUGCACCAUGGGUGCACUCUCACAGCUGGUCCUGAGGAGGGGGCCUGGGGGUCUGGGCGAGGACCGCUAACAUGGGUGCCACGGCCUGCCUCUAUGCUCCCCUCUGGCUGACACACAGUCCCCUCUGCACAAAUGCUCCUCCCACUUGGUCCCCGGCCUCGUCCUCCUGUCCUUCUGAGACAUGCAGCACGUCCAAGGCCCGCACUCCCCCUGGGGGCCUGUGGGUGACACCCCGGGAAAGCAGGCCGACUGUUGUGUUCACCCGGGGACCCCGUUCUGACACACGCCCGGCACGAGGCUGCCUCGAGGGGCCGGAGCUGGAUAGAUGAGUGCUUUCUCUUGAGCCCGGCGGGGCGGGGGCUGCUGGGGGACAGCAGCUUGGUAGAGGCCAAGGGGCCACCAGGCCAGGCUCGCCCCAGCCCAGAUCUCCUGACAUCCUUGCCUCCAAGUUUCUGCCUGGACCCCAUGCAGGGCAGAGUUGGGGUGAGGCCGGCUAGGGAAGGAGGAAGGCAGGGACGUCGCCCAGGCCAGGGGCAGCCUCGGCCACGAGCAGGAAUGCGCCCAUGGGCCCAGCAGAAGGAGCCCAGGCCCCACCGAGGACCAGGACAGCCUCUUCCAAGGCUACGCGGCUUUGAUCUGAGCAAGAUCGUUCCUUUGGGUGGAUCACCCACGGGCGCUGGAAGCUGCCUCUUGGGGGGGUGCGCAGCCCGCUCAGAAGCG
Long non-coding RNA from Acinonyx jubatus (cheetah), 8444 nucleotides. RefSeq lists it as uncharacterized. The record is from RefSeq and is a predicted model, not a curated record. NCBI's taxonomy places the organism in Eukaryota, Metazoa, Chordata, Mammalia, Carnivora, Felidae. The transcript has 4 exons.